GGAGGAGCAGAAACGUAGAGCAGCUGAAAGGAGAAGGGAGGAGAAGAGACAAGAGAGAGAGAGGGAGCAGGAGAACCAGAGGAGGUUUGAGUGAGAGCAGCAGCUCCAGACCCAGGCCCAGCAACACUACCAUAGAACUCUGUUACUACGGCGAGGCACAGCGCCAUGGAAGUGCAGAGUCGCCAUGAGCCAAGCCAACACUCAGCUGGCCAGGGCUCAUCACAGCCAGUCUCUCCUGAAACGGUGCAUCCUGUCCUGGCAGCAAGUAACAGCUGAAGGACCACCGCAUGGUUGUAGAGGGGCGGGCCGACCGGUUCUGGCGCAUGCACACUCUGAGGAGGGCUCUGAUGGCGUUACUAGAUCACGUGACCCAGGAGAGGAUGGUGGAGUGGGACCGGGAGCAGCAGGCUCAGGGACACAGUGAUAGGUGGGCGGGCGGUGCGGAGUUGUUUCCAGGCCUGGAGACAGUAUCCAGGGUCACUGCGUGAGGAGAGAGAGAGAGGGAAACCAGGAGGGAGAAGCUGAGAAGCAGAGUGGCAGAGGUCCUACCUGACUUUCACUCCUCUCCUCUGAACGGUCAAUGGGUACAAGCCCUGCUGUGACUCACAGAACACACAGGCAGACAGACGGAAUACUUCAAUACACGAUAAUCCAGCAGAUGGGAGCCAAUAAAUGUGUCUUGUUGCUGGUGUAACAAGCACACACACACAGGCUGUUUGUCAUCCUUAAUGACCAGAGAAAGCUGGAUAGUACUUUAAUGAAGACCGUUUGGAAAAACUUUUGUAACACCAAUGACUCGUUUAAAACUGAAGCGUAUGUUCAGGUUAUUGAAUUUGUUUAUUUGGGUAUCAUUGAAGUCACAGUUUGAUGUAAUUUGACAGAAGCUUGAACGCAUCAAUAAGGAUUUGCACUGUGGUUUGUGUGUCGGUUGUUUUUGUUGCUUUAUUCAGUUAAUGCAACAACACUAAUGAUCCUGACCAGCCUCCGUCUACAGAGAUGUAUCAACAUGAUGUUGUUUAAUAAAAACCCAUGGGCUAUUUCUGAAGCUCACAGGAACCGGUACACACAAGAA
This is a long non-coding RNA of Oncorhynchus gorbuscha (pink salmon), 1072 nucleotides long. RefSeq lists it as uncharacterized. NCBI's taxonomy places the organism in Eukaryota, Metazoa, Chordata, Actinopteri, Salmoniformes, Salmonidae. The record is from RefSeq and is a predicted model, not a curated record. The transcript is spliced from 5 exons.